This 178-nucleotide ribosomal RNA is filed under the name uncultured bacterium. RNAcentral describes it as "partial 16S ribosomal RNA". It matches the Rfam family "Bacterial small subunit ribosomal RNA", at positions 85 to 280 of the family's 1533-position model. The record is from RNAcentral.
CGAUUGGGAACCGGCGUAAGGGGCAGUAAGGCAUGGGUACCUACCCCGGGGUCCGGGAUAGCCACCAGAGAUGGUGGGUAAUACCGGAUGACCUCGUGAGAGCAAAGAUUUAUCGCCCUGGGAGGGGCCCAUGUGAUAUUAGCUAGUUGGUGGGGUAACGGCUCACCAAGGCGAAGAU